Molecule: small RNA, 28 nt
Filed under: Bombyx mori (domestic silkworm)
Lineage: Eukaryota; Metazoa; Arthropoda; Insecta; Lepidoptera; Bombycidae
Description: ovarian small RNA-27353
Source: RNAcentral
UCCCGUUGUUCGAGGCCACGAAGACGGC